CCCUUAGAUGUUCUGGGCCGCACGCGCGCUACACUGAUCGAUUCAACGAGUUUUGAAAUAAUUUUUAUAAUUUUUCAUAUCCUUUGUCGGAAGGCAUGGGUAAUCUUUUAAAUGUCGAUCGUGAUGGGGCUAGAUUCUUGCAAUUAUUAAUCUCCAACGAGGAAUUCCUAGUAAACGCAAGUCAUCAGCUUGCAUUGAUUACGUCCCUGCCCUUUGUACACACCGCCCGUCGCUCCUACCGAUUGAGUGGUCCGGUGAGGCUUUGGGAUCUGAGCGGAAAGAGCGUUUCGCUGUUUCUGCCCGGAAAACUCAGUCGAACCUUAUCAUUUAGAGGAAGGAGAAGUCGUAACA
Molecule: ribosomal RNA, 351 nt
Filed under: uncultured eukaryote
Lineage: Eukaryota
Description: partial 18S ribosomal RNA
Rfam family: Eukaryotic small subunit ribosomal RNA
Source: RNAcentral